This 497-nucleotide ribosomal RNA is filed under the name uncultured bacterium. RNAcentral describes it as "partial 16S ribosomal RNA". It matches the Rfam family "Bacterial small subunit ribosomal RNA", at positions 28 to 507 of the family's 1533-position model. The record is from RNAcentral.
GAUGAACGCUGGCGGCGUGCCUAAUACAUGCAAGUCGAGCGAACAGACGAGGAGCUUGCUCCUCUGACGUUAGCGGCGGACGUGUGAGUAACACGUGGAUAACCUACCUAUAAGACUGGGAUCACUUCGGGAAACGGGAUCUAAUACCGGAUAAUAUAUUGAACCGCAUGGUUCAAUAGUGAAAGACGGUUUUGCUGUCACUUAUAGAUGGAUCCGCGCCGCAUUAGCUAGUUGGUAAGGUAAUGGCUUACCAAGGCAACGAUGCGUAGCCGAGCUGAGAGGGUGAUCGGCCACACUGGAGCUGUGACAGGGUCCAGGCUCCUACGGGAGGCAGCAGUAGGGAAUCUGCCGCAAUGGGCGAAAGCCUGACGGAGCAACGGCGCGUGAGUGAUAACGGUCUUCGGAUCGUAAAACUCUGUUAUGAGGGAAGAACAAAUGUGUAAGUAACUAUGCACGUCUUGACGGUACCUAAUCAGAAAGCCACGGCUAACUACGUG